UACGGAGGAGGCAAGCGUUAUCCGGAAUUAUUGGGCGUAAAGAGCGCGUAGGCGGUUUCUUAAGUCAGAUGUGAAAGCCCAGGGCUUAACCCUGGAAGUGCAUUUGAAACUAAGGGACUUGAGUAUGGGAGAGGGAAGUGGAAUUCCUGGUGUAGCGGUGAAAUGCGUAGAUAUCAGGAGGAACACCGGUGGCGAAGGCGACUUCCUGGACCAAUACUGACGCUGAGGCGCGAAGGCGUGGGGAGCAAACAGG
This 253-nucleotide ribosomal RNA is filed under the name uncultured bacterium. Its description in RNAcentral is "partial 16S ribosomal RNA". It matches the Rfam family "Bacterial small subunit ribosomal RNA", at positions 524 to 776 of the family's 1533-position model. The record is from RNAcentral.